Molecule: ribosomal RNA, 421 nt
Filed under: uncultured bacterium
Lineage: Bacteria
Description: bacterial SSU rRNA
Rfam family: Bacterial small subunit ribosomal RNA
Source: RNAcentral
UAAGGAAUAUUGGUCAAUGGACGCAAGUCUGAACCAGCCAUGCCGCGUGAAGGAUGAAGGUCCUCUGGAUUGUAAACUUCUUUUAUCUGGGACGAAAACGGGAUUUUUAUCUCAAUUGACGGUACCAGAGGAAUAAGCACCGGCUAACUCCGUGCCAGCAGCCGCGGUAAUACGGAGGGUGCGAGCGUUAUCCGGAUUUACUAGGUUUAAAGGGUGCGUAGGUGGGCUUAUAAGUCAGUGGUGAAAUCUCCGAGCUUAACUUGGAAACUGCCGUUGAUACUAUAGGUCUUGAAUUAUCUGGAGGUAAGCGGAAUAUGUCAUGUAGCGGUGAAAUGCUUAGAUAUGACAUAGAACACCGAUUGCGAAGGCAGCUUACUACAUAUAAAUUGACGCUGAGGCACGAAAGCGUGGGGAUCAAACA